This is a long non-coding RNA of Mytilus californianus (California mussel), 1095 nucleotides long. RefSeq lists it as uncharacterized. NCBI's taxonomy places the organism in Eukaryota, Metazoa, Mollusca, Bivalvia, Mytilida, Mytilidae. The transcript is spliced from 2 exons. The record is from RefSeq and is a predicted model, not a curated record.
GUUUUUGUCGAGCCUGCGACUUUUGUCGCAGAAAGCUCGACAUAGGGAUAGCGAUCCGGCGGCGGCGGCGGCGUUAGCUAACUUCUUAAAAGCUUUAUAUUUUAGAAGAUGGAAGACCUGGAUGCUUCAUACUUUGUAUAUGGAUGCCUCAUGUUACGAAGUUUCCGUCAGUCACAUGUCCAAUGUCCUUGACCUCAUUUUCAUGGUUGAGUGACUACUUGAAAAAAAAGUUAAGAUUUUUUGUAAUGUUAAAUUCUCUCUUAUUAUAAGUAAUAGGAUAACUAUAUUUGGUAUGUGCGUACCUUGCAAGGUCCUCAUGCCCGUCAGACAGUUUUCACUUGACCUCGACCUCAUUUCAUGGAUCAGUGAACAAGGUUAAGUUUUCGUGGUCAAGUCCAUAUCUCAGAUACUAUAAGCAAUAGGUCUAGUAUAUUUGGUGUAUGGAAGGACUGUAAGGUGUACAUGUCCAACUGGCAGGUGUCAUCUGACCUUGACCUCAUUUUCAUGGUUCAGUGGUCAAAGUUAAGUUUUUGAGUUUUGGUCUUUCUUUCUAAUACUGCAUGCAAUAGGUCAGCUAUAUUUGGUGUAUGGAAUGAUUGUAAGGUGUACAUGUCUAGCUGGCAGGUGUCAUCUUACCUUGACCUCAUUUUCAUGGUUCAGUGGUCAAAGUUAAGUUUUUGAGUUUUGGUCUUUUUUUCUAAUACUAUAUGCAAUAGUUCAACUAUAUUUGGUGUAUGGAAAUAUUUUAUGAUCUAUAUGUCAGUCAAGCAGGUUUUAUUUGACCUUGACCUCAUUUUCAAGGUUCAUUGCUCAGUGUUAAGUUUUUGUGUUUUCGUCUGUUUUUCUUAAACUAUAAGCAAUAGGUCAACUAUAUUUGUUGUAUGGAAGAAUUGUUAGCUGUACAUGCCUGCCUAGCAUGGUUCAUCUGACCUUGACCUCAUUUUCAUGGUUCAUUGGUCAAUGUUUAGUUUACUUGGUUAAUGUUAAGUUUAUGUGACAGUUGUAAUAAAGCUUUAUAUUUAGGACUAUCAACAUAAUAUCAAUGAUUAGUAAAGAAGGCGAGACAUUUCAGCGUGUGCACUCUUGUAUUAAUAU